Molecule: long non-coding RNA, 428 nt
Organism: Populus euphratica (Euphrates poplar)
Lineage: Eukaryota; Viridiplantae; Streptophyta; Magnoliopsida; Malpighiales; Salicaceae
Exons: 3
Source: RefSeq, a predicted model, not a curated record
CUGACUCUCUCAGAAGACAGAGCUGGAAAUGAGAGGUGUUGAGCCAAGGCAAGACUUAGGUAGGCCAAAUCGAAGCUGCCGAAUAUAUAUGUUAUCGAAAUGGAAAGGCAAAUAAAAGUUGAGUGCUGCUAGUAUUCAAUACCUCACCUUCUGAACUGAAACUUGACCUCUUCACUGACAGGUAAUUAAAUAAUUACAGCUGCUUACUGCUACAUUACAGAUCAACCUACGAGAUCCAGAACACAGUGAUUUCCCAUUAAGAUCGGAUACCAAUCAAUUGCUGGGGAAGCAUUUUUCUUCCCUCUUCCCCUUUAUCAAAGAUUAUGGGACAGAGAACCGAAACGAAAAAUAAUUCAAAGGACCCAAGAUUCAAAGAAGCCUAAAAACGAAGGAAGGGUGUUACCUGUAAGGAGGAGGCGGGUAGAAGA